AUGGCUACCUAGUAAUUCUUCAUACACAGUACUUAAUUUCAUAUAUUUGUUUUAUUCUUCAAAUUUUAGAAUAGACAUCACUUCAUUCAUACUUAUCUUGUUUGGCUUUCGUUGAAUCAAAGAUAUCAAUGUUUUCAAAAAAACGUAUCUCAUCAGAGUCCUGUAGAAAGGGAGCUGUCCAAAUGCGGUUUUCCAAAUCAGAUCUUGUAAAAAAUUGCUUCGGCCAAUCUGUUUCCUCUUCAGCUAGAAGUAAAGUGCCGUCUUGUUUUGGAAACUUAGUUACAUCCCUGCUUAAUGCAACGUUUACGGCAAUUGCGCCUAAUUCAUCAGCUAGCUCUCUUCUUUUAAAAAAUCUUGAAAGUCGCUUAGGAGUGUUAGAAAACCCUAAAAGAUUUGGUAAGGGAAAAAUAGCAAUAGUAUCCAAAAAUUUUGGUGGAACUUGACCAGUCAACGGACUUGCUUCUAUCAGAGAAGAGUCUACUUCGUUUUUGCUAAUUUUUUUAUCGUUCUUUGUAUCAUUACUAUCCUCUUUGUCAUCUUUGUCAUCUUUUCCUUCUUUCUCUUCUUUCUCCUCUUUAUUAUUGGCUUCCAAUUUUUCUGUUUCAAGUUUUCUUUUCAUAAUAUCGUCGGAAAAUCCAUAUCGAACGCCGUACAGGAACUCUUUGAGGGCAUGCCUUCCUAAUAAAACAAUAGCAGGAGGAUCAACACUUGGUUUUAAAACUGAUAAGAGGUUUUUUUCCGGUUCAGAAACUUCAGAAAUGUUAUGCCUCUUGUUGUAAACCGUCCUCGCUACUUGUUCCAAUAAAUUCCCUUCACCUUUGGACUCCACGGUUUCAAAUUCAAUGGCUGCAGCAUUAAAUAUAGGUCUAAUGUAUUCUUCAAAUUCUUCCCGUGCAACGUAUAUUCCAUCCCCUGGAGGUCCAUGAAGAUAUACCUUCAAUUUUCUCGGUAACUCAAGAGGUGCCAUCGGUUGAUCAGCCAAAUGGCGUACUUGAGAGCAAUACUUUUCAAUUAUUAAAUUUUUCUGACGCCGAUCAUAAUAAAUUGCUCCAGAUAUGCCUGCCACGAAUCCCAAAAAUAUGGACAUAUUUCGACCAGGCAUAUAAGACUUUAUUGUUUUUAACAUUGUGAAAAACAAACCAAAAAACGUAUCUAUCGGUUUCUCCCUCUUUUUAAAGUUCACAACAUGAAAUAUGCGAACUCACACAAAUGAAAUACACACGUUUAUUUGCGAAUCAAUAUAUGGAUUUUCAAAAAGGAAAACUUCUAAAAGUCAAAAUGAAAAUUAAGAAGGUUGUAAUAGUGAAUAUUUGAUUUUUGAAAGAAGUUUUCCACCAACUUCCAAAAUCCAAGUAGUUAAGUAAAUUGGGGUAUGCAAAA
Schizosaccharomyces pombe (fission yeast) is the source of this 1380-nucleotide non-coding RNA. The record is from the annotation of a GenBank genome assembly. NCBI's taxonomy places the organism in Eukaryota, Fungi, Ascomycota, Schizosaccharomycetes, Schizosaccharomycetales, Schizosaccharomycetaceae.